This 251-nucleotide ribosomal RNA is filed under the name uncultured bacterium. RNAcentral's name for it is "partial 16S ribosomal RNA". It matches the Rfam family "Bacterial small subunit ribosomal RNA", at positions 337 to 602 of the family's 1533-position model. The record is from RNAcentral.
UCCUACGGGGGGCAGCAGUGGGGAAUAUUGGGCAAUGGGCGCAAGCCUGACCCAGCAACGCCGCGUGAAGGAAGAAGGCCCUCGGGUUGUAAACUUCUUUUAACAGGGACGAAGAAAGUGACGGUACCUGUUGAAUAAGCCACGGCUAACUACGUGCCAGCAGCCGCGGUAAUACGUAGGUGGCAAGCGUUAUCCGGAUUUACUGGGUGUAAAGGGCGUGUAGGCGGGAGAGCAAGUCAGACGUGAAAUUC